GAAUCAGGGAAUCAAAUCUGGACAGAAAUAGAGAGAUGUAUGCCCUAGAAAAGCCCUAAUCUUUAGUAGAAAGGAAAAGUGAGUGAGCUUCAAGAGACAGAAAUGAAAAACCCUAAUUGCACCGGAGAUGUUAAUUGAGCACUAGAAUAUUCUGUUGUUCUAGAUAAGGAACAUUAAAAUAAAAAUAAAAUAAAAUAGAGGAAAAGGACUUUGAAUUUGGAUUUGGAUUCGUUAGAACAGAAAUGUGAAAAUCAGAAAAGAAAUGAAAUCUUACGUUAGGGUAAAAGUCUCCUGCAUCUGUUUUUUUAUUUUUUUAUUUAUUUUUCUCUAGUUUGCCUCCUGCUUCAUAGUGAGCUGAAGCUAAAGAAUUUGCUUUGCAGUGCCAAUGGAGGAGAGAGAAGCCUGCCUUUCCUUUUCAUUUGCUUUGCAGUGCCAGUGGAGGAGAAAGAAGGUUUGGGUUCAUGGACAAUGGGCCCAUGAGGCCUAUAUUCAAUAAUGGAUUACGAG
RNAcentral lists this long non-coding RNA (507 nucleotides) under Populus trichocarpa (black cottonwood). RNAcentral describes it as "long non-coding RNA (PTRI_LNC004444)". Lineage: Eukaryota; Viridiplantae; Streptophyta; Magnoliopsida; Malpighiales; Salicaceae. The record is from RNAcentral.